RNAcentral lists this transfer RNA (28 nucleotides) under Albizia procera (forest siris). Its description in RNAcentral is "partial tRNA-His". Lineage: Eukaryota; Viridiplantae; Streptophyta; Magnoliopsida; Fabales; Fabaceae. The record is from RNAcentral.
CGGAGGUAGCCAAGUGGAUCAGGGCAGG